This 91-nucleotide microRNA precursor is filed under the name Canis lupus familiaris (dog). RNAcentral describes it as "mir-8799 microRNA precursor family". It matches the Rfam family "mir-8799 microRNA precursor family". The record is from Rfam by way of RNAcentral. RNAcentral also lists the same sequence under 1 other name. Lineage: Eukaryota; Metazoa; Chordata; Mammalia; Carnivora; Canidae.
GGGGGAGCGCCGGAUCUUGGGCAGUGUCCCCUGGCACCUUGGGCUCCUGGGCCUGCACUGUUGGAAUCCCGCUCCCGGCCAACAGUUCCCU